Non-coding RNA from Chiloscyllium plagiosum (whitespotted bambooshark), 840 nucleotides. The record is from RefSeq and is a predicted model, not a curated record. NCBI's taxonomy places the organism in Eukaryota, Metazoa, Chordata, Chondrichthyes, Orectolobiformes, Hemiscylliidae.
CAGUCCAAUUCAGUGUGAUACAGUGAAGAGCUCCCAGUUUAAAUGUGUAUUCAAAAGGUUGCUUGGAGCUUCGCACAUCUGCAGCGAAUAAUUAAUACUCUUUUGAAUCUGCUUCCUCCUCCUUCACUUUACCCGGCUGCCAGAAUCCACCUACAAAUACAUGGAAGAUGUCCAGCAGCACGCACUGAGGUUGGAGGAUCCUCCUAAAAUGUGACUUGCCACCAGUUGCUGGAUGACUUAGCUGCUCUUCACAACUUCACAAAAGCAGGAUCUUACCCUCAGAACUUGCUGUGUACCAACUGACUGCUUUAUUUCCUAAAUUACAACUGAGUGACAGAAUGAUUACAGUGCAAGAGGGCAUUCAGCCCAUCAUGGCUACCCCUGCUCUAUUGUCUGGUGCCUAUCACCUGCACAUCAUUACCAUCCACAUAGGCACCUUGGACUGGAGACAGUAGCAAUCCACGUGACUUGAAUAAUAGAAGAGGGACAAUCUGCCAAAGAUCCUUCUCCGAUCCCAAGGAGAGAAAUGUUUACAUUCUGAUCAUGUGCAGUCUUCCCCACUUGGGUCUAACAGAUUAGAAAUCUCAGUGCGUAAGAAUAUUCCUGAAUUUCUCGGGCAGCUACAGUCAAAGUUGCUGCCCUGUGCCCUGAUGCCUUUCCUGGGGGAGAUCUACGCUAAUGAAAUCUGAUGUAACCAGGACAGGAUACACAGUCUAGCCCCGAGCUGUGGAUUAAACCUGGAAAUCAGGCAGAUAUCGUUGCAAUUCAUCAUGUUAUUGUGCAUGCUGACUGCUGACUGUUAUCAAAUUUGUAAGAAACACAAUAAAGAAAUAUUGUUAA